CAAAUUAGAGCUUGGUAUAAGUAUUUCAUUUACAUUGAAUUGAUAUUGAAAUUUUCAAUUAAUUUGA
Molecule: transfer RNA, 67 nt
Filed under: Sitochroa verticalis
Lineage: Eukaryota; Metazoa; Arthropoda; Insecta; Lepidoptera; Crambidae
Description: tRNA-Val
Source: RNAcentral